RNAcentral lists this ribosomal RNA (1440 nucleotides) under uncultured Bordetella sp. RNAcentral's name for it is "partial 16S-23S ribosomal RNA intergenic spacer". It matches the Rfam family "Bacterial small subunit ribosomal RNA". Lineage: Bacteria; Pseudomonadati; Pseudomonadota; Betaproteobacteria; Burkholderiales; Alcaligenaceae. The record is from RNAcentral.
UUGAUCAUGAAACGGUUGAACGCUGGCGGGAUGCUUACAUUCAGUCAGGCAGCAGCACGGACUUCACGGUCUGGUGGCGAGUGGCGAACGGGUGAGUAUGUAUCGGAACGUGCCUAGUAGCGGGGAUAACUACGCGAAAGCGUAGCUAAUGCCGCAUACGCCCUUCGAGGAAAGCAGAGCCUUCGGGCCUCACUAACCGACAGCAGUAUCGGAUUAACGAAAGCUGAUUGGUGGAGUAACGGCUCGCAAGGCGACGAUCAUGCUGGAUUCAGAGGACGACCAGCCACCACUGGGACUGAGACACGGCCCGAACUCGGAGAGCAGCAGUGAAAUUUUGGACAAUGGAGGAAACCUGAUCCCAGCCAUCGCCCGUGUGCGAUGAAGGCCUUCAGGUUGUAAAGCACUUUUGGCAGGAAAGAAACGGCACGGGAUAAUACCCCGUGCAACUGACAGUACCUGCAGAAUAAGCACCGGCUAACUACCGUGCCAGCAGCCGCGGUAAUACGUAAGGGUGCAAGCGUUAAUCGGUACACCGGGCGUAAAGCGUGCAGGCGGUUCGGAAAGAAAGAUAUUGUAAAUCCCGAGCUUAACUUCGGAACUACAUUUUACUGAGCUAGGGGUAUCAGAGGUGGGUGCAUGUGAUGAAAUGCGUAGAUGUGCGGAAGGAUACCGAUGGUGAAGGCAGCCUCCUGGGACGCUGAAGCGCUCUUGCAGCGUGGGGGCAAACAGGAUUAGAUACCCUGGUAGUCCGCCUAAACGAUGUCAACUAGCUGUUGGGGCCUUCGGGCCUUGGUAGCGCAGCUAACGCGUGAAGUUGACCGCCUGAGGAAUACGGUCGCAAGAUUAAAACUCAAGGAAUUGACGGGGACCCGCACAAGCGGGCCGGAUGAUGUGGAUUAAUUCGAUGCAACGCAAAAAAACCUUACCUACCCUUGACAUGUCUGGAAUCCGAAGAGAUUUGGAGUGCUCGCAAGAGAACCGGAACACAGGUGCUGCAUAGCUGUCGUCAGCUCAUGUCUACUCGUGGAAUAUUUGGGUUAAGUCCUGAGCGCAACCCUUGUCAUUAGUUGCUACGAAAGGGCACUCUAAUGAGACUGCCGGUGACAAACAGAGGAAGGUGAGGAUGACGUCAAGUCAUCAUGGCCCUUAUGGGUAGGAACUACACACGUAUUACAAUGGUCGGGACAGAGGGUCGCCAACCACGAGGGCUAAUCCGAAACCCGAUCGUAGUCCGGAUCGCAGUCUGCAAACUCCGACUGCGUGAAGUCGGAAUCGCUAGUAAUCGCGGAUCAGCAUGUCGCGGUGAAUACGUUCCCGGGUCUUGUACACACCGCCGCGUCACACCAACGCAGAUUGGGUUUUGCAGAAGUAGUUAACCUAACCGUAUGAGAGGGCGAUUACCUGGUAAGUUCUGACUGGGGUGAAGUCUGUUCAAGGUAA